RNAcentral lists this ribosomal RNA (35 nucleotides) under Clostridioides difficile. RNAcentral's name for it is "partial 23S ribosomal RNA". The record is from RNAcentral. Lineage: Bacteria; Bacillati; Bacillota; Clostridia; Peptostreptococcales; Peptostreptococcaceae.
GUUAUUAAGGGUGUAGGGCGGAUGCCUUGGCACUA